UGACCAAGUCUGCGUACUUCAUUCCUGUGUGUACUGCCUAUUCUUCAGAGCGUUUAGCCAGGAUUUACAUCCGGGAGAUUGUUUGAUUGCAUGGUGUUCUGAUUUCCAUCAUCUCAGAUAAUCGUACUCAGUUUACUUUGCAGUUUUGGAGAGUCGUGAAUAGUGAGUUGGGUACUUAGGUGGAGAUGAGCACAGCGUUUC
Molecule: long non-coding RNA, 201 nt
Filed under: Nicotiana benthamiana
Lineage: Eukaryota; Viridiplantae; Streptophyta; Magnoliopsida; Solanales; Solanaceae
Description: long non-coding RNA (NBEN_LNC022747)
Source: RNAcentral